GGGAACGUGCCUUUCGGUUCGGAAUAAUCCAGGGAAACUUGGACUAAUACCGGAUACGCCCUUCGGGGGAAAGAUUUAUCGCCGAAAGAUCGGCCCGCGUCUGAUUAGCUAGUUGGUGAGGUAAAGGCUCACCAAGGCGACGAUCAGUAGCUGGUCUGAGAGGAUGAUCAGCCACAUUGGGACUGAGACACGGCCCAAACUCCUACGGGAGGCAGCAGUGGGGAAUAUUGGACAAUGGGCGCAAGCCUGAUCCAGCCAUGCCGCGUGAGUGAUGAAGGCCUUAGGGUUGUAAAGCUCUUUUGUCCGGGAAGAUAAUGACUGUACCGGAAGAAUAAGCCCCGGCUAACUUCGUGCCAGCAGCCGCGGUAAUACGAAGGGGGCUAGCGUUGCUCGGAAUCACUGGGCGUAAAGGGCGCGUAGGCGGACUUUUAAGUCGGAGGUGAAAGCCCAGGGCUCAACCCUGGAAUUGCCUUCGAUACUGGGAGUCUUGAGUUCGGAAGAGGUUGGUGGAACUGCGAGU
This 520-nucleotide ribosomal RNA is filed under the name uncultured bacterium. RNAcentral describes it as "bacterial SSU rRNA". It matches the Rfam family "Bacterial small subunit ribosomal RNA", at positions 120 to 674 of the family's 1533-position model. The record is from RNAcentral.